GAUCUGGAUGAUUGAUUGAUCAUGAAAUGAGUCAAAUCUAAGCAAGAAGGCUAAAUAGAGUUAUCAAUGAUGGGAUUGAAGGCUGCGUAGCACAAAUUGAUAAAAGUCAAUAGUCAGAGAGCGAGUUCUGGUUCUAGGACCAACCUAGAGACUACCUUUGAUUUUUUUAUGGAACCCUAAAUGCAAGAAGUGAGAGAAAGAG
RNAcentral lists this long non-coding RNA (202 nucleotides) under Elaeis guineensis (African oil palm). RNAcentral describes it as "long non-coding RNA (EGUI_LNC078079)". Lineage: Eukaryota; Viridiplantae; Streptophyta; Magnoliopsida; Arecales; Arecaceae. The record is from RNAcentral.